GACGAACGCUGGCGGCGUGCUUAACACAUGCAAGUCGAACGGAAAGGCCCUGCUUUUGUGGGGUGCUCGAGUGGCGAACGGGUGAGUAACACGUGAGUAACCUGCCCUUGACUUUGGGAUAACUUCAGGAAACUGGGGCUAAUACCGGAUAGGAGCUCCUGCUGCAUGGUGGGGGUUGGAAAGUUUCGGCGGUUGGGGAUGGACUCGCGGCUUAUCAGCUUGUUGGUGGGGUAGUGGCUUACCAAGGCUUUGACGGGUAGCCGGCCUGAGAGGGUGACCGGCCACAUUGGGACUGAGAUACGGCCCAGACUCCUACGGGAGGCAGCAGUGGGGAAUAUUGCACAAUGGGCGGAAGCCUGAUGCAGCAACGCCGCGUGCGGGAUGACGGCCUUCGGGUUGUAAACCGCUUUCGCCUGUGACGAAGCGUGAGUGACGGUAAUGGGUAAAGAAGCACCGGCUAACUACGUGCCAGCAGCCGCGGUGAUACGUAGGGUGCGAGCGUUGUCCGGAUUUAUUGGGCGUAAAGGGCUCGUAGGUGGUUGAUCGCGUCGGAAGUGUAAUCUUGGGGCUUAACCCUGAGCGUGCUUUCGAUACGGGUUGACUUGAGGAAGGUAGGGGAGAAUGGAAUUCCUGGUGGAGCGGUGGAAUGCGCAGAUAUCAGGAGGAACACCAGUGGCGAAGGCGGUUCUCUGGGCCCUUCCUGACGCUGAGGAGCGAAAGCGUGGGGAGCGAACAGGCUUAGAUACCCUGGUAGUCCACGCUGUAAACGGUGGGUACUAGGUGUGGGGUCCAUUCCACGGGUUCCGUGCCGUAGCUAACGCUUUAAGUACCCCGCCUGGGGAGUACGGCCGCAAGGCUAAAACUCAAAGGAAUUGACGGGGCCCCGCACAAGCGGCGGAGCAUGCGGAUUAAUUCGAUGCAACGCGUAGAACCUUACCUGGGUUUGACAUGGAUCGGGAGCGCUCAGAGAUGGGUGUGCCUCUUUUGGGGUCGGUUCACAGGUGGUGCAUGGCUGUCGUCAGCUCGUGUCGUGAGAUGUUGGGUUAAGUCCCGCAACGAGCGCAACCCUUGUUCACUGUUGCCAGCACGUUAUGGUGGGGACUCAGUGGAGACCGCCGGGGUCAACUCGGAGGAAGGUGGGGAUGACGUCAAGUCAUCAUGCCCCUUAUGUCCAGGGCUUCACGCAUGCUACAAUGGCUGGUACAGAGAGUGGCGAGCCUGUGAGGGUGAGCGAAUCUCGGAAAGCCGGUCUCAGUUCGGAUUGGGGUCUGCAACUCGACCUCAUGAAGUCGGAGUCGCUAGUAAUCGCAGAUCAGCAACGCUGCGGUGAAUACGUUCCCGGG
This 1343-nucleotide ribosomal RNA is filed under the name uncultured bacterium. Its description in RNAcentral is "16S ribosomal RNA". It matches the Rfam family "Bacterial small subunit ribosomal RNA", at positions 28 to 1378 of the family's 1533-position model. The record is from RNAcentral.